AUGAUUAGAUCUAUAUGUAAACUGAAUGUUCAAAGAAAAUAUUGUUCUGCUUGCUUUCACACUUCGGGCCUUAUAGCGUACUUGCCUGUCCAUCUGAGCGUCUUGUGCCGCACAGGGACAUUUCAUGUCUUUAGCUUUUUGUCAUUUACAGCCCUCAAUCAUGUUGAAAACACAUAUUGUUGGAGACCACGCUUAUCAGUGGUACAGAUUACUAGAUGCUCUGGAGGGGUAAAUGGCUGUCAAGUGGAAGUCCAAGGCGAAUGGGUGAGCAGCAGUGAGAAGUGAGCAGGUUUUUUGUCCCCUUCGUCGUGUCCCUGGAGUGAGGUGAGCAAGAGUUUCCCGUCAAACCGUGAGAGUGUGCGUGGGUCGUGAGGAUUGGAUGUUUGGACUGCCCUCUGACCUCUGGAUCUCCCCCAGAUUAACCCUCUUCUGUGUGGCCUGUGAUUUUCUCUUCUCUGUAAAUAAACAGAAAGGACAGAUUCUAAAAGUCUACAGUGAGCUAUGUAGCUAAGCCUGGCAUAGCUAGCAAACAUCUAUACACACGGGCUGUUUGUUGUGAACACAUGCAUAAGGGGGAAAAUAUUUUGUUACAUGUGUUACUGAAACGAAACAUUUAACAUUAGUAAAUCUGUACUGUCGUGCAGGAUGUAAACUGUGGGAUCAAAGUGAAAUAAAAUCACAAAGGUGAAUCUUUUUAUAACGAAUCAAUAAAAAGUUAGUUUAAGGUAAUAUAAUAAACCUAAUGAAUGAAUUAAAAUGUGUUUUAUUUUGACUCAGGAGGGCCACAGGAUGACCACCACCACUCUCAAUCACUUUAUCUUUUUAUAGAACAGAAAUUUCUCCCUUGCAGCAAUCGGAAACGCAGCUGGCAUGAAACCCAGAAUGACAGGGUCAGCAGGUGGUUCAGGGAGAGACGCAGAGGGGAAACAGGCAACCAGAAGGCGAGCUUGAUAACAAGCAGAAUGGACAGAUAACAGCUGGGCAGAGAGCAAGCAGAUGGACAGAGGAAGUGUAGGUAAAGAGUGGAAGGAUCUUUGAGAUGAAAACCAGAGGGAAGGUAUUCAGUUAAGUAACGACAAAAGGGCAAAUGAGUUUCCAACUCUCUGUUCUUUUCUAAUGUGAGAUGAUGUGAUACGCUGCAAUAGAGACAGAGGAGAGAGAGAGAGGAAAGCAGCAGUGUCAUUAAUGGAAGCCCUCCAUCAGGAUGAAAGAGAGCUGCAGUUGCCUCAAACCGUGGACGCCCACACAGCACCACGACUUCCCGGUGACAAGAAACUUAGGACACACAAAGAGGGGGGGGUGACUGUGCUGUAGAGUCUUAUAUAUCAGAGGACCAGCAGACAGAAGAAGAUAAUGAGAAAAACAAAAUAAAGAAAAAAAAGAGCGAACAAUAGAGUUGGUAGAGAAAGAAGUAAAUCAAAGGACAAACUGAUGGUGCUUACAGACCUCACUGUACAGUAUGUUCACUGUCUCCACCCC
RNAcentral lists this long non-coding RNA (1479 nucleotides) under Oreochromis niloticus (Nile tilapia). RNAcentral describes it as "lncRNA (ENSONIG00000035938.1)". The record is from RNAcentral. Lineage: Eukaryota; Metazoa; Chordata; Actinopteri; Cichliformes; Cichlidae.